Molecule: ribosomal RNA, 478 nt
Filed under: uncultured bacterium
Lineage: Bacteria
Description: partial 16S ribosomal RNA
Rfam family: Bacterial small subunit ribosomal RNA
Source: RNAcentral
GACGGACGCUGGCGGCGUGCUUAACACAUGCAAGUCGAACGGUAAGGCCCUUCGGGGUACACGGGUGGCGAACGGGUGAGUAACACGUGGGUGAUCUGACCUGCACUUCGGGAUAAGCCUGGGAAACUGGGUCUCAUAACGGAUAGGACUCCGGACUGCAUGGGCGGGGGUGGAACGCUUAUGCGGUGUGGGAUGGUCCAGCGGCCUAUCAGCUUGUUGGUGAGGUGGUGGCUUACCAAGGCGCAGACGGGUUGCCGGCAUGAGAGUCUGACCGGCCACACUGGGAAUGAGAGACGGCCCAGACUCCUACGGGAGGCAGCAGCGGGUAAUAUUGCACAAUGGGCGCAAGCCUGAUGCAGCGACGCCGCGUGAGGGAUGACGGCCUUCGGGUUGUAAACCUCUUUCAGCACAGACGAAGCGCAAGUGACGGUAUGUGCAGAAGAAGGACCGGCCAACUACGUGCCAGCCGCCGCGGUAA